GUGAUUGAUUAGUAAUAUUUUGCUGUACAGAAAUAUCGUCUUGGGAAAAAUCAAGUCACUGAUCAAUCUUUUGAUGACAAUAAACAAGAAGGUAAGUCGGAGUUGUGUGCAAUAGUACCUGAUGAUACAAAGGAAAAUGAAAUCUCAAGUGGCUUAUACCAGAGGACUUAUUUUGAUGCAGAAUUCAGAGAGCCUCAGAGUGAUAAGUUAUCUUUGGACAAUUGUGAGUCACGUUACAAUAACAACAAAAAAACACAGUGAAAAUUGCACAAGUGGGGUCUGGAGAGAAUAGUGUGUACGUAGACAGUGAUUGAUUAGUAAUAUUUUGCUGUACAGAAAUAUCGUCUUGGGAAAAAUCAAGUCACUGAUCAAUCUUUUGAUGACAAUAAACAAGAAGGUAAGUCGGAGUUGUGUGCAAUAGUACCUGAUGAUACAAAGGAAAAUGAAAUCUCAAGUGGCUUAUACCAGAGGACUUAUUUUGAUGCAGAAUUCAGAGAGCCUCAGAGUGAU
This 510-nucleotide long non-coding RNA is filed under the name Nicotiana benthamiana. RNAcentral's name for it is "long non-coding RNA (NBEN_LNC028473)". Lineage: Eukaryota; Viridiplantae; Streptophyta; Magnoliopsida; Solanales; Solanaceae. The record is from RNAcentral.